This 301-nucleotide ribosomal RNA is filed under the name uncultured bacterium. Its description in RNAcentral is "partial 16S ribosomal RNA". It matches the Rfam family "Bacterial small subunit ribosomal RNA", at positions 509 to 807 of the family's 1533-position model. The record is from RNAcentral.
CAGUAGCCACGGUAAUACGUAGGGUGCAAGCGUUAAUCGGAAUUACUGGGCGUAAAGCGUGCGCAGGCGGUUAUAUAAGACAGAUGUGAAAUCCCCGGGCUCAACCUAGGAACUGCAUUUGUGACUGUAUAGCUAGAGUACGGCAGAGGGGGAUAGAAUUCCGCGUGUAGCAGUGAAAUGCGUAGAUAUGUGGAGGAACACCGAUGGCGAAGGCAAUCCCCUGGGCCUGUACUGACGCUCAUGCACGAAAGCGUGGGGAGCAAACAGGAUUAGAUACCCCCGUAGUCCCUGUCUCUUAUAC